AGUGAACGCUGGCGGCAGGCCUAACACAUGCAAGUCGAACGGAAGCACUGUAAGAGCUUGUGCUUACAGGUGCCGAGUGGCGGAUGAGUGAGGAAUACAUGGGUAUCACCUGGUUAGCGGGGCCGAACGUAGGGGAUAAUACGCUAAAACAGCUGAUGACCUACGGGAGCAAUCAUUGGAUCUUCGGAACUAGGUCGAUUGUAUGUGCCGAUGUCGUAUUAGCUAGUUGGUGGGGUAAAGGCCCACCAAGGCGACGAUCCGUAGCUGGUCUGAGAGGUUGAUCAGCCACACUGGAACUGAGACACGGUCCAGACUCCUACGGGAGGCAGCAGUGGGGAAUAUUGGACAAUGGGCGAAAGCCUGAUCCAGCCAUGCCGCGUGGGUGAAGAAGGCCUUCGGAUUGUAAAGCCCUUUUGUUGGGGAAGAAAGGCAGUAGGUUAAUACCUUGCUGUUUUGACGGUACCUAAAGAAUAAGCACCGGCUAACUUCGUG
This 492-nucleotide ribosomal RNA is filed under the name uncultured bacterium. Its description in RNAcentral is "partial 16S ribosomal RNA". It matches the Rfam family "Bacterial small subunit ribosomal RNA", at positions 29 to 507 of the family's 1533-position model. The record is from RNAcentral.